Molecule: long non-coding RNA, 394 nt
Organism: Populus trichocarpa (black cottonwood)
Lineage: Eukaryota; Viridiplantae; Streptophyta; Magnoliopsida; Malpighiales; Salicaceae
Exons: 3
Source: RefSeq, a predicted model, not a curated record
UUUUAAGAGUGAAAAACUGACGGGAGAAGAGAAGAAAAGGGGAGGAAGAAUAAUAGAAAAGAGGGAAAGAUAAGGGAAGGAAAAGAAAGUUGGAGAAAAUAAGUUUAAAGGUUCUCCUAACGAUCCUCAAUAGGAUUUUCGGGUCUUUCGUCUGACAUUCUUUUUAGUUAUAUAUUUCCGGGUUCUUAGUUUCCGAUAGUAGGUGAACUUUGUUGAGUGUUUCUGCUUCUUCAGUUUUGGGUUAGUAUGCCUUGCUUAUCUUUCAAAGCUGUUUGAUUCGAUGUCUUAGGCGCUCCACUAUUACCUUGUUUUAAUUAAGUUUGGAUUUUGACAAUGUAAUGAGUAUUAUGGAUUAUUGUUUUUGUUUUAAUUACUAAUGAGGAGUUUUAAACUA